This is a long non-coding RNA of Gasterosteus aculeatus aculeatus (three-spined stickleback), 881 nucleotides long. NCBI's taxonomy places the organism in Eukaryota, Metazoa, Chordata, Actinopteri, Perciformes, Gasterosteidae. The record is from Ensembl.
UCUGUCACUUAGCAAAAGUGUGACAAUGUUGUCAAAGAAGUGCUGAAUCAAACGAAUGCAUGCCGGAGGACAUUUCUCAGAUGAUGCCAAUCGGUUGGCUUCAUCAGUGGCCUCAUGCGCAGCCUGGAAGAGCUGUCUUUUUAUUGACCAGUUGCAAGAAGAUUCCCCGCUGCAGAGAAAGCAGGUCAAAUGGACAGUGUUUCCGCCCAGUUUCAAACUAUGGACCUUUCCUAUGUUAGGCGAACGUGAUACCACCGCUACACUAAAGAAACGUUUGCUCAAUCCACCACUGGUAUUGCUCUUUUGUCUUUGCAGAAGUACUUUGGAGAAGGUCUUGAACUAACAGAUUCAUCAGGCAUUGACCAUCAUCACUAUGGAACAGUCUAAAUCAGCACCUGCAUGUAGGAGGUUGUGGUUUUCAGCCAGGGAGUGGAGGAUAGAACAAACUCGGCCUGGAGUGAGUAUCCGCCCAAAUGGACGCAGUUCAAGUGCAUACUUCCUCUUAAGACCGAAGUUGAGGCUGCCAGACAAUUUUCCAAUACACUCCUCGUUAGUAUAGUGGACAGUAUCUCUGCUUGUCACGCAGAAGACCAGGGUUCGAUUCCCUGACGGGGAGCUUCUUUUCAAAAGGCAACUACAAACUUUUCACUCUCCUUGGCUUCUCCUGUCCUAUGCAACACAACUCAUGCUGAUUAACACUAUUUUACUACUGAAACUACAGGUCCUGAACAGACUGUUGCUAAAAGCAUGAGUCCAGAUUGUCACACUUCUGUCACUUAGCAAAAGUGUGACAAUGUUGUCAAAGAAGUGCUGAAUCAAACGAAUGCAUGCAGGAGGACAUCUCUCAGAUGAUGCCAAUCGGUUGGCUUCAUCAGUGGCCU